GCGGGCAUGGCGGAAUUGGCAGACGCGCUAGGUUGAGGGCCUAGUAGGGGCAACCCUGUGGAGGUUCAAAUCCUCUUGCCCGCA
This 84-nucleotide transfer RNA is filed under the name Planctomycetaceae bacterium. RNAcentral describes it as "tRNA-Leu". It matches the Rfam family "tRNA". Rfam says of the family: Transfer RNA (tRNA) molecules are approximately 80 nucleotides in length. Their secondary structure includes four short double-helical elements and three loops (D, anti-codon, and T loops). Lineage: Bacteria; Pseudomonadati; Planctomycetota; Planctomycetia; Planctomycetales; Planctomycetaceae. The record is from RNAcentral.